AUGAAAAUAUAUGAGUCAUUCACAAAGAAAAGGACGGAAGCAUUCAAAUCCCUUCUAAAAUCUGUAUUGAAGCAACAAAAUCCAAAUUUAAGUGAGGAUGCCGUGGAUAACAUGAUGGAGCAUGCUUUAGGAAUUGAAAAUAGUGCAGCACACCAUUCCUCUACUUCGACCCAUCUUCCUAGAAAGUUUGGAUCCGAAGAUCAUGAAGAUGAAUGA
Vicia faba (fava bean) is the source of this 216-nucleotide non-coding RNA. The record is from the annotation of a GenBank genome assembly. NCBI's taxonomy places the organism in Eukaryota, Viridiplantae, Streptophyta, Magnoliopsida, Fabales, Fabaceae.